Molecule: ribosomal RNA, 93 nt
Filed under: uncultured bacterium
Lineage: Bacteria
Description: partial 16S ribosomal RNA
Source: RNAcentral
CGCCGCGUGGAGGAUGAAUAUCUUGGUAUGUAACUCCUUUCGAUGGGAAGAUAAUGACGGUACCCAUAGAAGAAGCCCCGGCUAACUUCGUGC